This 774-nucleotide ribosomal RNA is filed under the name Flagellimonas beolgyonensis. RNAcentral describes it as "bacterial SSU rRNA". It matches the Rfam family "Bacterial small subunit ribosomal RNA", at positions 83 to 858 of the family's 1533-position model. The record is from RNAcentral. Lineage: Bacteria; Pseudomonadati; Bacteroidota; Flavobacteriia; Flavobacteriales; Flavobacteriaceae.
AUCCGCCGGCGACCGGCGCACGGGUGCGGAACGCGUAUGGAACCUGCCCCUGUCAGGGGAAUAGCCCAGGGAAACUUGGAUUAAUGCCCCAUGGUACCGCGAUAUCGCAUGAUAUUGCGGUUAAAGAUUUAUCGGACAGGGAUGGCCAUGCGUACCAUUAGCUAGUUGGUAAGGUAACGGCUUACCAAGGCAACGAUGGUUAGGGGCCCUGAGAGGGGGAUCCCCCACACUGGUACUGAGACACGGACCAGACUCCUACGGGAGGCAGCAGUGAGGAAUAUUGGACAAUGGUCGGAAGACUGAUCCAGCCAUGCCGCGUGCAGGAUGACGGCCCUAUGGGUUGUAAACUGCUUUUAUACGGGAAGAAACCCGCCUACGUGUAGGCGGCUGACUGUACCGUAAGAAUAAGGACCGGCUAACUCCGUGCCAGCAGCCGCGGUAAUACGGAGGGUCCGAGCGUUAUCCGGAAUCAUUGGGUUUAAAGGGUCCGUAGGCGGGCCUGUAAGUCAGGGGUGAAAGUUUGUGGCUCAACCAUAAAAUUGCCUUUGAUACUGCAGGUCUUGAGUCAUGGUGGGGUUGCCGGAACAUGUGGUGUAGCGGUGAAAUGCAUAGAUAUCACAUAGAACACCGAUCGCGAAGGCAGGUGACCAACCAUGUACUGACGCUGAUGGACGAAAGCGUGGGUAGCGAACGGGAUUAGAUACCCCGGUAGUCCACGCCGUAAACGAUGGAUACUAGCUGUGGGGACUUCGGUCUCCGUGGCCAAGCGAAAGU